AUGGCGAAUAUUGACAGCCUCCGGUUGCAGAAAAACUUUCCCAGUUUACCGGAGACUGAAACUUCUGAGCAAGCCCAAGAAACAGUUUUGAAAUAAGCAUGGUAAAUAUAGCGUGAAUAAAUUGAGUGGUUUAGGCCAUUGUCAUUUUACCUUGAUAUUUAAAACUAUAAAGUGCCCGUGUUUACGACGACGUUCGCGUAAAUUAAAAUAUUUUAAUGGAUAUUGAAUUUAUUCCUUACGUUUUAAAUUUAGACUGUUUAAUAUUACAUGCAUUAGAUGUUUUUAAAGAAACCUGUACGAUUGGUUAAGUGUUCAAUAUGCAGGAAAAGGAUCUAGUACGUUAAUGUAAUGAGGUCAAAUAAACGAAGGUAAUUGCAAUCUAUUUUUAGAUGCCGUAGCGAACAACGGAGCCGCGGCAAGAGUUCACGUUGAUUGACAGAUGAAUGCAAUUAUAGAUAUCCAGAUGUUUAUCCCCAAGGCGUAGUAUGUAGACUGCAGUUAUUAAGUGUGUGAAAAUCUCAUGUUACAAAAUUUUAUUUAGCUGUUGUGUAAAGUAGUUGUCAGAUACCUGUAUGCAAGUGAUGUGUGAUUAGAGCUGUUAUAAUUUGAGGUAAAACACAUGAUCACAGUGACACAUAGUUCAUACAUACUAACAUUUUCAUGAUUUGACCCCCUAUUGAAUUCAAUUUUAUAUAUUGUACAUGGUAGAAACUUAAAACUUGUAUAUCCACUGUUCAGAGUUUUUAUUGCAUGUUGUACAAUAAUUACAGUAUCAAAUUAAGGUACCAGGCUUAUAAUUUAAUACGCUCAGAUUAAGUAAAACUUAUGGUCUACAUAGGCUAUAAUGGGGAUUUGUACGCACAUUCGUCUAGUAAUGUGCCAGAGCAAGGUCAGUUAUUGUUGUAAGUAUUUUGUUUAUUGUUGUUAGUUUAUAUAUAUGCCUCUGUUUCUUCAGUCGAACAAAGCAGGGACUUCGUAGACCUACGAAAAUUUAUCGCCAGAAAACAGUCUCAUUUCAUUUCUUUUUUCUUUUGGUAUACUGAUGAUGAGCUUGUAGGCCUUGGUUUCUUUUAUUUGCAUAAUUCUUGUACUAAUUUUAAAAUUUACAAAAUAACUCAAGAAUACAGAAAACUGGCAUUAAGAAUAAAGGAUAUAAAGUGAAGACCCCCCCCCCUUUUCCCUCAAAGACCUUAUCUAUGAACCAUGACUAAAAAUCUAAACCUACAUUUCCUAAAGUAAGAAGGAUGAAUACAGAUUUUCAUUUAGUGUUCUUAUCGGCGGACGCUAUAUACAGUAACACAGUAGAAGUGAAUACAAAAAUGGCGAUUUUAAAUCAACAGACACAUGUCUGGUUUCAAAAGUUAAAUGGAUUUCAAGAUAAAGGAUGUUUUCUUGAGAGUUCAUUACAGUUCUCAUCUUUCUGUUAAUUACGAUUUUGUUGUGGAACUACGGUAAACGUUGUAAAUUGAGCUCGUAUGAUAAAUUGAUUAAAAUUGAAAGGCUGUCUGACCGAAUUUGUCAUUUUUGUGUUUACAAAUUAAUUUUGAGAAUUGUUAUGACCCAUUAGGAAAUCCCAUUAAAUACAACAACUAAUUAUGACACCUGUUGUGACUGUUGAUUAGCUUAGGGUCGUUAACUUGUCAUAAUAUGUCCCUAGGUAAAAUUAUAGAUUUUCAAAAAUUGAUCAGAAAAACUUCAAAAUUGGUAACCGAUAAUUUUUUCGGGUAAAAUUUGUUAAAAUUGGGAUUUUGACUAGUUUUACGAUCCCGAUAUCGGGAUUUGGGUUGAGGGAUGAAAAUCAGAAUAAUACUGCAAAAAUCAGGAUAGUUGGCAGGUCUGAAUGUUUCCAUCCUCAUCAUUACCCUUCCUAUAACACUCUUUAUAACUUUAAUAAUAACCAAAGCAAAACAUAGAAAUGUGUUUAAACUGAAACAGGAAGAAAUUUGUUUGUUUUGAAAAGUAAUUGAUAAAACCUCAAUAAGGCUCAUUUUACUUCAUUUUAGUUUACAACAAUUAUUAAAGUCAUAAGAAACAAGUGACCGGUGAAAAAUAAUGUUCUUCCAAUUCUUGAACCAAUGCAUACCAGGGCCGUAACUAGGGUUCGAAUUCAGGGGAGGCAGGGGUUUGGGGCCGCCGAUUAAGUCCCCUUAGAGUUGGAAAUGGGGUGCGCAGCCCCCCGCCGAUUUUUUUCUCUCUCACUCAAUGGCUAAAAAUGACCCGUUUUCCUUACUUUAAGAAACAUCAGUAUUGCUUGAACCUAGAAGCAAUUUUUAUGAAAAAACAAGCUGAGAUUACUGUUCGGGGUGAGCCAAGGCUCCGUCAUGAAGGCUGUACUUUGACCUAUAAUUAUUAACAUUAAAUACAGUGAUAGUGUACAUUGUGAACGCAGAUUUUUUUCUCAAUAUGGCUAAAAAUGACCUGUUUUCCUUCGAUUUCCUUACUUUAAGAAACAUCAGUAUUGCUGCAUCCUUGAAGCAAUUUUUAUACAAACAAAUAAUAUCUGUAUUUAAAGAUAUUUUUGUUAGAAAUCAAACUGGUUAGUUAAAAAAACAUAGAAAGCAAGAUAUUUUUUUUUAUCGAGGACCGUGAAUUUCAAUAUUGUUGAACGCCUACUGUUGAAAGCUGAACAGACAUGUAUAUAACUACAACAAGGGACUUUCUAUACUAGUAUAUUAUACUUAGUAUAGAAAGUCCCUGCUACAACGAAUGGGCCUGUUUAACUACUGAGGCAUAAUGCCAUUGACCAUAAUGUUCUCGUACGAUAGGGAGACGGUAAAAAAAAACGAUCCAACAGCUGAUUCAACCGGUAACGAAUUUCCGAUAUAAUAAAAGAUUCAUAAUACAAAGGAAACUUCCUCUGCUUAAUUGAGCCCCUAAAUAAAUAUGAAUAGUUAAGUUUUAUUCAAAACUGUCGAGGGCAAAGUUUCAUAUGUGUUCUCGUUCGAAUACUGAAUAACAGGUCGACGGACGGCUACACGAAAAAAAAUAUGUAAAACAAAUACUGAAACGGUUCACUUUCGAUGAAAAAUGCGGAAAAUGACAAAUAUAUAUCACGUAUCAUGAUAACACCGUUCAAACUGUAAACUUGUGUUGUUUAUAAUAUAAAUUCAACUUGAGUUCUUCGUGUACAUAUUUUAUUAGAUAUGUACUUCAAAAAAAAAAUUUGGUGUAGAAAAUUUAGGGGAGGCAACUGCCUCCCCUGCCUCAUAGGUAGUUACGGCCCUGCAUACAAACAUCAUAAACUUAGUCUUCUGUGCACGAAUUUAUCAUUUUUUUUUGUGUAAAUUUCAUAUAGUUGUUAAUUUUUUUUUCAAUUGGUCAGUGUUGUUGUGAAAAUAUGGCAGGUAAUUAAAGUUCUUGUUUUGAAGCCGAAGUUUAACGAUUGUCACCUGUUUGUCAACAAUCGACAAAAAAUCAAAAAAAAGCAUGGAAAUUGAGCACGUGUUAACAUGUAAUUCAGAUAAUAGUUUAUUUUAAGGACAUCCAUGCGUAUUGUGAUCACCGGAUUCCUGGAAGCAAUUAAAAUAAAGUAAACUUCUUCUAAAUAUGAAAAAAUUAAAGAAUUUUCUUUAAAAAAAAGUACAGGUACAUACAUGUAAGUUUUAUAAUGAAAACUAUCCAUUGAGUUUUAAAAAAACGUAUGCAUUUUUUUGUUGAUUUGAGGUUUCUUAUGACUUUAAUUAUUCAAAACAGGUAAUAAUGACGAAUGGGGUGACUUUUAUAUUGUUUGAUAAUCAAAGGAUACUGAAGCCAUACACAUGAUAGAUAUAUAUAAACCACAGGGACUUGUUAGCAAAUUAAAAUUAUGUUCAUCAAUGUUUUUAUGCCCCAUUUAUGGGUAUUAUAAUGAGAUCCAGAGGGGGGCAGAGAGGGCUUACUCGGACCCUUUGCUCUGACUUUUUUUUUGUUAAAUGAUUAAUCAGACUAGACUUAUUGAUCUUUGCCAUUUCCUGUGUCUUUAAUUUUUAUGGGACAAUUCUUUACUUAUAAAGAUAUUUUCCGCUGGUAUUUACUUAUCAUGGCAAAGUCGUGUGAUUAGCUAUGGUGGAGUGGACGAGUGCAUCGAAAAAACGUCACAGUCAUUUUGACCUGAAUGCCUGUUUCUAGACCAGACUACAACCUGCCUGCUUGGUGUGGCCUUUAUGCCUCCAUUUAUCGACCGUCAUUCAUAAAUUUGUUGUCAUUUCAGACUCAUUCGUAGCCUUUUGUUAAACAUUUGAAUAAAAUUGUGUGUUAAUCUGUUUUAACUUGUGUCGGUCAUGUUGCAAAUUUCAUCGAAUAGCCUGGCGUAUAUCUUGUUUACAACAAAAAAUCUAACGAGGUUAUGCUCUGACACUUAGCAUACAACAAACAAAAAUUUUCCAGGUCUAUUUUUUACUGACAAGUCUCACAUCAAAUAUAUCAGGACAUAGUUUUUUUUGAAUCCAUAUUAUCAUUUUAUGAUAGACAGUAAAUGGGGAGAAUAAGGCAUCAAAAAUGUCCUGCCCUUACACUUUACAGCAACUACAAAAUAUACAUGCCCCGCGUCAGAAACCGUUUAAAAAGUGCAUUUUACACUUAUUUUAUGUUUUUAGGCUAAAAUAGGUCCCAAAAAUUUUUAGUAAUGUAAUACAAAUAGACAGGAAAUAUGAAAAAAGAUUUGAAAAACGUGGAUAAACAAAAUUUAAAUCUGUUAACCCAGCCUCUGUGUAUAGAACAAGUUAUUUGCAAUUGCUUGCAGCUGACAUCAUUUAACUCACCUGUAUCAAUGGUCCCUGAUAUAGAUUAAGUUACUGUUUUUGGAAAGAUUAGAACUUGUUCUAAAUCUUUACUAAGGCACCGGCCUCCCUAACAACUCGACAGGUUAGCUACUGUUACUAAAUGUAUUCAGACUGAAAUAUAGUUCCCUAUGGUUCUCAUGUAUGUGCACAUAAUACACAUAUUUAAACUGAAAAAAAAUGGGUAUAUUAUUGGAGAAGUUCAUGUAACAAUGUAUGUAAUUAAGGUGUGUUGAUGUGCAGGUUUUAAAAAAAAACAACAUUUUGAUUAGGUAAUUGGGUAUUGAUACAAUACUAGUAUGAUUGACAACUGUCAUUAUCACUAAACAAUCAGAGACAAGGUAGCUAGACCUUUAAUUACAAUGCCCCCCCUUCUAAACUGUCAAUCAAAUUGACCACAUUACUUUAUUAUCAACCUCAGUCUUACAUAAUUAUACAGACCCUGCAAUAUACACCUCUUAAUAUACAAAUAUUUGACCUCAUAAUUGAAUACACAAAUGUAUAUAUUAGAUGUUAACAUCACUGAAGAGACAUAUAUUGUCGAAAUCUAGAUCUGGUGUACAAAAAAAAUAUUGACACCUUGUGUUUGUGGCAUAACAUCUUGGUCACAAGUUUAUCUUUUUCUGUUUAGUAUUAAAGGAGUAGGUCCGGUAAGGACUGAUUUUGGCCUAAAAUUUCAGGUUCAUCUAACGAAACAGUGGGGGCCCACUGACUGACCUAAGAGGUGGCCUGCUCCAGUCACGCUUCUAUGAUUCCCUAUAAAGGAACCAAAUUUUUUCCCAAAAAGGGGGGGCUAAAACCGCCUCUGCGAAAGAUUUUGGACACUUUUUAAACACUUAAGUGUCUAUUUCAAUUGAUUCAAUUUGUUUCUGUGAAAGAUUUUAACUGAUUAAGUCAUUAAAAAUGCUCCGAUUCAAGCUUAAAUAUGAAAAAUCUAUCAAAUAUAUAUGCAAAAAAUCGUCACUUUUCAGAUGGUUUUUGGCGAAAAUGAAAGUGGCCGCAUCCGUGUUCAUCCUCAACCUUUAUAUAUGUUAUAUAUUAUCAUCAAAUACAACUUACAUUUCAAUAUUAUGAAUGAACACGAAUGCGUCCACUUUCAUUUAAGAAGGAAACCGUCUAAAAUUUAACUAAAAUGCUAACAUUGUGAAGAUUUCAGUAAUUUAGCAUGACUUAAUGAUGUUAGUACCAGAUAUAUGUGCAUUGUAUUGUCAAAAACAGCCCAUAUUUAUGUAGCAGAAGCAUUGUACUGUCCAAUAAAUAGCUUAAAGAUAACAUUUUCACAAUUUUGUAAAACUGCUAUAUUUUGGGGCCGAAAAAGGGUCUUACUGAACCUACUCCUUUAUAUUAAGAUCCAUUUUGUUACAUCUCGUGAUCAAUUUUAUUGGCAAUCGCCAAUGGCAGUCAGCAGGGUUUAAGAACAUCAGUUGUUCGACCUGUUAGUCAAAUGUGUUUUGUUUAAAUAUACUUUUUCACUUUUUUGUUCUUUUGGAAAAUGUUGUUUGUGCUGUAUUUAGACCCUUCUACAAUGAAAUUUGUUUUACAUGCAAUAAAAAUUGCGGUUUUUAUCCAAAGCAAUCAUAGGUUUGAACCUAGUUUUCAAUUUAGACUCGUUUAGAUGUUUGAUAUAUAUAACUGUAUAAGGAUGAUAGAUUUAUUUAUUGCCAAUUACUUUUGAUCUACAUUACAUAAAGUGAUUCUGUAAAUUAUAUCUGAAAGAUAAAUGAUAAAUGGAUUAACAAUGGAUUAACAAGAUCUUUAAAAAAAUGAAAUGUGAAUAUAAAUAUGAAUAUAUAAAAGAUAUUCAAGUAAGGUCUAUAAUUUACUGGUCAAGUAGGAUAAACGGUACUGUAGUUCCUUCAGAAGAACAGAGUAAUAAAUCGGUUUAACUUUAGAAGUAAAUCGGUUUAUAUGAACAUAAAUUGACAGACUGACAGGUCGACAGGUUGACACUAUAAAGGUCAACAAGUUUAAAAGUUGACAGGUUGACAAGUGUUAUGGUCGACAGGUUGACAGUUUGAUAAGUGUUAAGGUCGACAGGUUGACAAAUGUUAAGGUCGACAAGUUGACAGGUUGACAAAUGUUAAGGUCGACAGGUAGACAGGUUGAAGGGUUUAAUUUUCCAAUUAAACAAGUAAAUAAAAGUACAUCAUCCAUUAAGUAAAUAUAAAUUAACUUCAUUUUUUAACCUUUUUUACAAGUAUUGACUUAUAGCUUUUAUAUCUGUUCGCUGUCAAUCUGUUACCAUUUGUACAUUUUACAUUUCUGAAAAUGAAAUUGUCAACCUGUCGACUUGUCGAUCUGUCUACCAGUCACUAAUAAUACUAUUUUACACUUUAUAAAUGCUCUCAAGUUGUCAAUCUGUCAUUUUGUCAACUUGUCAACCUGUCGACUUGUCAACCUGUGGACUUGUUAACCAUAACUUACUUGUUAUUAUAUUAAAUUAUCAACUUAUUAAUCUGUCAACCUGUCGACUUGUCAACCUGUCAACCACUUAUUCCAACCAUAACGUUUUUAAAAUUGUCAACCUGUCGACUUGUCAACCAGUAAAUUACUCAUUUAUUUCAGAUUAGUAAUAUAAUGAGUAAUAUUUCAAAAUUUAAACAGUGCCAAUUUUAUUACCCAUGAAUAAAUACGCGUAUUAAUUUAUUGCAAAAGCCGGAACUAUAGUACCGUAUAUCCUACUUGAGCCUAAUUUACUUGAUAAAUUUCCAAUAAUCAUCUGUAAUUAAUCAACAAUUUAGAUUAGUUCACUUUUUUUUUAUUAGGAAUUGGCUUGAAACAAAAACUGAGGAUUUUCUUAUCCCAGGCAUAGAUCACCUUAGCCGUAUUUGGCACAACUUUUUGGAAUUUUGGAUCCUCAAUGCUCUUCAACUUUGUACUAGUUUGGCUUUAUAAAUAUUUUAAUAUGAGCGUCAUUGAUGAGUCUUAUGUAGAUGAAACGCGCGUCUGGCGUACUAAAUUAUAAUCCUGGUUCCUUUGAUAACCAAUUAAAAUGUUAAAACUUUUAAUUAUAACAAAUCAUUGUUUAUUAGUUUGUUCCCAAUCAAUUAUUAUUUUAGUCAUUUGAAAUGUUUGAAUUUUUAUUAGAAGUGAAUAUAUAUUUUUGUAAUCAAGAAAGAAUCCUGAUUCAAUAAAAUAAGUUUUUUAAUUGUUUACGUUGAAAAAGUACAUUUUGAAUGCCCUGUGUUGAAAAAUACUUUAAAAAUUGAUCAAAAGGCACUCUACAACUUUUAAUAUUCAAUGUCAUAUAUAUAUAACCUCUGUUUCAACUUACAAAAUGCCCUAAAACAACAUUUUUGGAUUAUUUUUGUUGACACUUAAAAGUUUUUAGCUGUUGGUCUAGAUUUUAUGCCUUGCAAGGAUAGUUGGUAACAUUUACUAGAAGAAUUUUUGAUUUGCAAUUUUUUGUUUUUUUGAAACAUGUUCAGAACCCGCAACAUUAUUUCGAUAAGAUAUAAAAUGCAGUUUAAAUAAAAUUGUGCAAAUUAAGAGACCCAUAAUAUUUCAUUUGAGCUCCUUUUAUCCUCAUACUGGAAAAGCAUGUUUCCUUCUAAAGACCUGCUGUUAAUGCAACUUUCAGCAAUAGUGCUUUUUUUUUUUUAUUAAUGUUCAUUUUUUCCUUAAUAUGAAAUAAUUCAAACUACUCUUCUAAUCUUUCCAUGAGUGAUUUCCAUCACUUUGAUUGUUACAGUUAAUUGAAACAUAUACUUCAUCAUCUGUGAAACAAAUAUUCCAUAACCGUAAACCAACUUGUGUUAAUAUUUUGUAAAAUUUACAAGUGAAUAUGUUUAAAGAGAGUGCUUUGUUGACCUCUUUUAUGUGCUAGAUGUCCUUUUGUUUUUGUGUUAGGUUGCUUAUAUUCAUAAACACAUGGUUAUUUUGUAUUUCAAAUGUUAUUAGUCAUCACCAGAGCACCUGUUUUCUUCAAACAGAAUCUUUUUAUGUGUGUAUGAAAGAUUAAAAUUCCAAUAAGAUAUUGUGUAUUAAUUACUGUUUUUAUAUGACAGGAUUAAUUAGCUGCUAUGGUGUUUCCAUCAUUCGUAUCUAGAAUCGAUCAGAUGGCAAGUGUCAUUCAGUUAAUGAUAUCGUUUUUAUCAUAGAAUAUUGAUUUUUCUCAUUUAUAAUUUUAGAGUAACGGUAUAAAGGAUGUCUGAUAACAAAUUACAGUUUCCGCUCACAGUGUGCACUGAUGGGGAAGAAUUUAUUAUCAAUAAAGAAGAAGAUCCAACAAGUCCCAAUCAGUUUCAUCAUGAUUAUGAUGGGGAUCGUGGACGAUCGAAAAGGAGGCGUAGAUGUGGACAGUGUGGACCAUGUCAGGUUAAGGAGAAUUGUAACAAAUGUAAUUUCUGUCUAAGAAGGGACGUUUUAAAACAGACUUGUAUAUAUAGAAAAUGUGUUUAUUUACGAUCAAAGCCAAAACCUUAUCCAAGUCCUCAAGGUGGGCAAGACUUUAAUCAAGUAACUUCGCCCCCACCAAGUCAGUCUGUUGUUAAAAAUAAUCGAACACCACCAGCAAGCAGUCUGCAGGACGGACCAAUUGUUUCUGGGCAUAAUGCCCAAAUAUCACAGACUUCUGCUGGGACAUUUAAUCCAUUCACACCGG
This 9360-nucleotide long non-coding RNA is filed under the name Mytilus galloprovincialis (Mediterranean mussel). The record is from RNAcentral. Lineage: Eukaryota; Metazoa; Mollusca; Bivalvia; Mytilida; Mytilidae.